Molecule: long non-coding RNA, 991 nt
Filed under: Panax ginseng (ginseng)
Lineage: Eukaryota; Viridiplantae; Streptophyta; Magnoliopsida; Apiales; Araliaceae
Description: long non-coding RNA (PGIN_LNC000244)
Source: RNAcentral
AAACCCGGUUAGUUUAGGAUUAAUUGAAUAUAAAACUCCAUUUUCGUUAAUCUCUUUUUCUCUGCCUCUCCUUCAUCCCAUUUUCUAGGAAAACACAUCAGAAAGUUGCAGAGAAUCAACUCAAGAACCAUAAGCAUGAGCACCUCACUAAUUCCUCUAAACCCACACUUUUCUAUCUAUUAAUUUCAAUCUCUCUAUUAAUAUAUCCCUUCCACUUCUUCUCUCACCCAAGAAAAACAGCCCCAGAUCAAGAAGCCACUAUUGAUGUAUGUUCAUCACCCACUUUCUCUCUCCUCAUCAUCUAAUUCACUUUCUGGGAAAUUUUCAUUCUCACCUUCAUACCCACCUCUAAUUAAUUUCUCUUUUUCCGCAAUUUCCACCUUCAUCCCCGCACACUUCUCAUUCUUUUUCUUUCCAUUCACUCUCAUCUUUGAAUUUUCCUGUGCUUUUUAGCCUCGAUAUCGGCCAUUAGAUUGUCAUUUAGGGUAAUGGUUUCCUUUACCAUGCAUCUUCUAAAGAGAAUUGUAUUAAUUGAAUGUUCCAGGAUAAUUUACUUUAUUACUUGUCAUACAUGUAUAUAUAUAUAUAGGGUUAAAUGCAAAGUCGACUAUUGAACUUUAGUGAUUUUUGAGUAUUGAGCCCCCUUCUUCCGGUCAACACAAAUUGAGUCAUUUCUAUUCAAAAAUUUGGACUUUAAACCCAUAGGGGCCACAUGUUAACCUGAUGAUGUGGCGCCUACGUAGCACACUUGACAGAUCUGACGUAGUAUUUUAUAUUGUAAUUCAGAUUUUAACUCGCAACCUCACAUUUGGAACCUUGGUCAUAUGACCGCUAGAGCAAUAAAGGUCAACAGUUAAUAUUUUGUAAGAAUUAAUCUUUAUAUCAAAACAUUUCAUUUUCCUCAAAAAAAUUAAAAUACUAUACAGAUCCUCGUCUUGCCUAACAUUAGCAGUUGUAGUACUAAUAAUAACAAUAACAAUAAUAAUAAUAA